UGGGUCCAUAGUUAGUGACUGUGACCCUGAAAGUUCAACAGCCCUCUAUGCAGCAACGUCACUACUUCUCCUCUUCUACCUCAACUCGGUCUACUCAACUCUUUAGCUCUGGCUUUGUGUGUUCCUUGCGGUGAACCCGCAAGUUCGUUCAGCCAGGUCUAGCGAGUUUGUCGGUGGGCCAAAAUUCAAUCCUACACACUCUAAUAUCCCACACGGAUAUCACACACAUGGUCAACUUAAUCGCCGAGACCUUCGUCUUCUUUAUUUUAUUCACUGCCACCCAAUUUAAAUUCGGAUUUUUAUAGUUGCAUGCGUGCAAGUCGCGCACGCGUUAGACCGGAAAUUUGAGGUAUUGUUCCAUUUUGUUACUUUCCGGCUUCUAAUGUCAUCGCACUCACUGUCUUGAUUAUUUUUAUCUUCAAUAACGAGCUAAAAUUAAACAGCCUGUAGUUGUAACUGCAACUACCAAGUAAAUUGUCGAGUCGAGGGUGCAAUUGCUAUUAUUGAUCAGUAUCAUACAGCGGGGGUUCAAUACACAUCCACAUACAUGGACAUUAAAAUAAAUAUAUAGAGACGAGCUAACGCGUGUCAGGUUUACAUGCCAGCCACGGUUGCAUGUUACAACUUACUAUGUACUUUUAAU
Long non-coding RNA from Cotesia glomerata, 643 nucleotides. RefSeq lists it as uncharacterized. The transcript is spliced from 3 exons. The record is from RefSeq and is a predicted model, not a curated record. NCBI's taxonomy places the organism in Eukaryota, Metazoa, Arthropoda, Insecta, Hymenoptera, Braconidae.